This 594-nucleotide ribosomal RNA is filed under the name Pseudomonas protegens. RNAcentral's name for it is "bacterial SSU rRNA". It matches the Rfam family "Bacterial small subunit ribosomal RNA", at positions 56 to 643 of the family's 1533-position model. Lineage: Bacteria; Pseudomonadati; Pseudomonadota; Gammaproteobacteria; Pseudomonadales; Pseudomonadaceae. The record is from RNAcentral.
UGCAAGUCGAGCGGCAGCACGGGUACUUGUACCUGGUGGCGAGCGGCGGACGGGUGAGUAAUGCCUAGGAAUCUGCCUAGUAGUGGGGGAUAACGUCCGGAAACGGGCGCUAAUACCGCAUACGUCCUACGGGAGAAAGUGGGGGAUCUUCGGACCUCACGCUAUUAGAUGAGCCUAGGUCGGAUUAGCUAGUUGGUGGGGUAAUGGCUCACCAAGGCGACGAUCCGUAACUGGUCUGAGAGGAUGAUCAGUCACACUGGAACUGAGACACGGUCCAGACUCCUACGGGAGGCAGCAGUGGGGAAUAUUGGACAAUGGGCGAAAGCCUGAUCCAGCCAUGCCGCGUGUGUGAAGAAGGUCUUCGGAUUGUAAAGCACUUUAAGUUGGGAGGAAGGGCAGUUACCUAAUACGUGAUUGUUUUGACGUUACCGACAGAAUAAGCACCGGCUAACUCUGUGCCAGCAGCCGCGGUAAUACAGAGGGUGCAAGCGUUAAUCGGAAUUACUGGGCGUAAAGCGCGCGUAGGUGGUUUGUUAAGUUGGAUGUGAAAGCCCCGGGCUCAACCUGGGAACUGCAUCCUAAACUGGCAAGCUA